Vicia faba (fava bean) is the source of this 195-nucleotide non-coding RNA. NCBI's taxonomy places the organism in Eukaryota, Viridiplantae, Streptophyta, Magnoliopsida, Fabales, Fabaceae. The record is from the annotation of a GenBank genome assembly.
AUGAAAGUCAAGAUUAUAGAUUGUGUGCCUUUCGUCAGUGUGUCGGAGGUGAUUCGAUUUGAGUUGAUCGCUAAAGCUCUUUAUUUGAGUAUUGAUGAAAUGAAGGAAAACUGGAAAACUAAGAAAGAAAUGUGCGGACUCUUGUCAUACCCCAAAUUUGCCCGCCUCGGUGGUACAGUCAAAAUUAGGUUUUAA